UGCAGGUGAUGCGAAAUGUUUGCUGAGACGUGGUGAUGCCACUUUAAAGCACCGAGAUCGCUGAUGCG
This 68-nucleotide small nucleolar RNA is filed under the name Phocoena sinus (vaquita). RNAcentral describes it as "Small nucleolar RNA SNORD24 (ENSPSNG00000006946.1)". It matches the Rfam family "Small nucleolar RNA SNORD24". Rfam says of the family: U24 is a member of the C/D class of snoRNA which contain the C (UGAUGA) and D (CUGA) box motifs. C/D box snoRNAs have been shown to act as methylation guides for a number of RNA targets. The record is from Rfam by way of RNAcentral. Lineage: Eukaryota; Metazoa; Chordata; Mammalia; Artiodactyla; Phocoenidae. RNAcentral also lists the same sequence under 1 other name.